Molecule: ribosomal RNA, 470 nt
Filed under: Oenone fulgida
Lineage: Eukaryota; Metazoa; Annelida; Polychaeta; Eunicida; Oenonidae
Description: partial 16S ribosomal RNA
Rfam family: Bacterial large subunit ribosomal RNA
Source: RNAcentral
CCCUGUUUAUCAAAAACAUUGCCUUAUGAAAACAAACUAUAAGGUUCAUCCUGCCCAGUGAUUUACUUUUAAACGGCCGCGGUACCCUAACCGUGCAAAGGUAGCAUAAUCAUUCGCCUUCUAAUUAAAGGCUUGUAUGAAUGGACAAACGAAAGCAAACCUGUCUCCAUCAAACAAAAUAAAAAUUAACCUUCAGGUGCAGAGGCCUGAAUUACUCUAAAGGACAAAAAGACCCUGUCGAGCUUUACCUACAAAAUUUCCCAUUACACACACCAGUGACAUAAAAAAAUCCAAAUAGGUUAAGUUGGGGCGACUAAGGACCAAAAAAAACGUCCUUUUAACAAAGAUCUAUAUAUCUAACUAAAUGAUCCACUCCAAUGUGAAUGCAAAUCAAGCUACCGCAGGGAUAACAGACUAAUCCUCCUAGAGAGCCCAAAUUGACAGGAGGGAUUGGCACCUCGAUGUGGCCU